Molecule: non-coding RNA, 272 nt
Organism: Podarcis muralis (Common wall lizard)
Lineage: Eukaryota; Metazoa; Chordata; Lepidosauria; Squamata; Lacertidae
Source: RefSeq, a predicted model, not a curated record
CAGCGCAGCACACGGAACGCCGUUUACCUUCCCGCUGGGACUGAUCAGCAGCCGCCUGCAGAUCCUGAUGAAAGAGAGAGAGAAAAUUCUGGCCUAUCAACUGGACCUGAAAAAGGAAAGCCAAGCCCUCCUUAAAUUGACAGAAACGGAGAGGCAGAAAACAGUGGAGAAAGCUCAGGCAACUGCGCCAGUUCCUGGAGGAACAAGAAAAGCACCUGUUGAAUGAGAUAGAAGACGUAGAGGAGCAGAUUGCAAGGGAAAGGGAUGAGCAG